ACUCCGUAUUUUUAUGUCGCCCUAUUUUAUAUUUCAAGGAAAUAUACGGAGUUUUACGUUUUAAAUAUUCAGAGCAAUGUUACAUUUUAAACAAGAGUAUACAUAUUAUAAAAGUUAUUUUAACCUCAAAGAAAAACAAAACGUUUUAUUUCAAGAAAAAAAUAAGGAAACAAUUAGUUUACAAGGUUACGAUUUAGAAAAGGAGUUUAGAUUAAAAAGGAGUUCAGAUUAUAAUUUCCAAAUAUUUUAAAUUAAGGGAAGAUCUGAAUUUUAUUAUAAAGAAAACCCAAAACCCUUAUUUAUAUCCCCUUCUCGCGUAGUGUUGUUUCCUAUUCUACUGUCGCCGUUUUCCUUCUCUACUCGUACCUUGUUCCUGCGAUCUCGCCACACCUACCAUUGCUGCCGAAUAAUCUGUACUCUCACCUUCUCGCCUUCUAUCGGUACCAAGUUCGUAGAAGGGAGAUUCUAGCUAGCUCGUUACCCUUAAUCUGUUUUCGUACUUCAAAAGGCAAUCUACAGGUUUGCAAAUAAGCAUGCAUGGGGAUAGAUUUUUGAAGUACCUUUUCCCUUUAAGUAUUACAUUAGUUUUGGAUUUUAAUUUGUUGCAACUGCUUAACUUAACUUAUUUCUUGUGUUGGAGUUUGGAUUUAAGAAGGGGCCUAUUGAGGUCUCCAUAUUGUAUUUGAAAUAUUCGUUUUAAGACUUCCGCUGUUUAUUUUCAAAGUUAGACUAUAAAAGGUAAACUGUUUUUUUUUUUUUUAUUUAAUUAUUUCAUCUGCCUUAUACGUUCCAUCGUGGCAGUAACACCCCAAUGUUUCUCUACUCUCAAAUAUAAGGUGUUUUAAAUAGGGAGGAUUAUGGGGGUGUUACAAAAUGGUAGCCAGAGCUAUUGGUUUCAGUCUUACUAAUGUCAUUCUUGAAAAAAAAAAAAAAAAUUAUUUAAUUUUGUUUUCAAAGUUUACGAAAUAAAAUGUUCCUUUACUAAGGGUGGAAAAAGGGAGUAUUGCAUAUAGACUGAUCUGUUAAAGUGCAUUAAAUAAGUGAUUAAGAUGUCUAAGUGAUCGGCAUAUUUGACAUUAUCACGCACACUCAAUUUGUUCGAGUUUUUUUGUAGCCUGUUAACUGUACAUGUAUUUCGUACAAUUGAAGUUAGUAAUUAUAUUGGAAUCUUAAGUGUGGGUAUUACAUGAACGAUUUGAUGGUUAGUUUAACUGCUAGUGUUGUUUCAUUAUAAAGUGGUGUUUAUACACUUCCUUAGACUAGUUGUCUAUGCUUUGAUCCGCAAUACACUAUUAGUCCUUUUAUCCUUUUAAUUAGGACUAUUUGAGUAGUAAGUUGAGCACUAGUAUUAAUCGUAUUAGUGUGGAACGAGAAAGAAUUAUCUCAAUAUAGUGAGAUUAGCCAUGAUAUGUGAGCUAUAAAGCCAUAUUCUAGUAUUUAGACAGUAUGGGAUCAUUGUAUGAUCUAUAGGGAUGUGUUUAUUAAUUAGUUAGGCAGUUUAAAAGUACCGUAUGAUCAAGUGUGUUAUUUCAUUAGGUUGUUUGAUAAUGCAAGGUAUUAAUUAAAAUGGCUUUCUUAUACGGGUAUAAUUGUCUACUUGAUGUGUGUAUAAGCUACACAAAGCUUUGACUUUAUUUGUGAUGUCA
Molecule: long non-coding RNA, 1646 nt
Organism: Spinacia oleracea (spinach)
Lineage: Eukaryota; Viridiplantae; Streptophyta; Magnoliopsida; Caryophyllales; Amaranthaceae
Exons: 3
Source: RefSeq, a predicted model, not a curated record